AUGGCCGGCGCUCAGAGCAAGGACCGAUAUGCUAGGAAGCUGCUGCUUCUCUUGCUGUGCGGCGGCUACUAUUCUGUCGUUGCUCGUGCAGCCGAUGAUGCACGUAGCUAUAAGGUUCUCGCCGUCGGCUCACUCAAGGCUGAAGUCGUCUGCUCAGUAACUCCAGCGCCGUCCAGUGGAGCUACGGUGCCGCUAAACCACCGGCAUGGCCCGUGCUCGCCGGCGCCAUCCGCAAAGGUGCCAACCAUCCUGGAGCUGCUCCAGCAUGACCAACUCCGAGCCAAGUACAUCCAACGGAGGUGGUCUGGGAAGAAGGGCACCGACGACCUCCAGCCGUUGGACCUCACCCUGCCGACUACCCUGGGAACUGCCCUGGACACGCUGGAGUAUGUUAUCACCAUCGGCAUCGGCUCCCCGGCGGUGACCCAGACCAUGAUGAUCGACACCGGCAGCGACGUGUCAUGGGUGCGCUGCAACUCCACGGACGGGACGACGCUCUUCGAUCCCAGCAAGUCGACCACGUACGCCCCGUUCUCUUGCAGCUCCGCGGCGUGCACACAGCUUGGAAACAAUGGCAACAACUGCUCAAACUCGCAGUGCCAGUACAUGGUCCAGUACGGCGACGGCUCCAACACCACCGGCACGUACGGCUCCGACACGCUGGCGCUAAGCGCCUCGGACACGGUCAAGGGUUUCCAGUUCGGUUGCAGUCACCACGAGGAGGGCUUCAACCGCGAAAAAUUCGACGGGCUCAUGGGGCUCGGCGGCGACGCGCAGUCGCUCGUGUCGCAGACGGCGGCGACGUACGGCAAGUCCUUCUCGUACUGCCUCCCGCCGACCAACCGCACAUCCGGGUUUCUCACCUUCGGCGCGCCGAACGUGACGUCCGCCUUCGUGACGACGCCGAUGCUCAGAUGGCCACGGGUGCCGACGUUCUACGGCGUGCUUCUCCAGGACAUAUCCGUGGGCGGAACUCUGCUCGGAAUACAGCCCACCGUCCUCUCCAACGGAUCGGUGAUGGACUCUGGUACUAUCCUCACGCGGCUACCACGGAGGGCCUACUCGGCGCUCUCGUCGGCGUUCAGAUCCGGCAUGACCCGGUACCCGCGGGCGGCCCCCGUCGGCAUCCUGGACACCUGCUACGACUUCACCGGGCUAAGAAACUUCUCUGUCCCGACCGUCGAGCUGGUGUUCGACGGCGGCGCGGUCAUGGACCUCGAUUAUGACGGGAUCAUGAUCUCAGACUGCCUCGCGUUCGCUGCCACCAGCGGCGUUAGCAUCAUCGGCAACGUGCAGCAACGGACGUUCGAAGUGCUGCACGACGUCGGCCAGGGCGUUUUUGGCUUCCGGUCAGGCGCGUGCUCAUAG
Molecule: ribosomal RNA, 1368 nt
Filed under: Triticum aestivum (bread wheat)
Lineage: Eukaryota; Viridiplantae; Streptophyta; Magnoliopsida; Poales; Poaceae
Description: partial small subunit ribosomal RNA
Source: RNAcentral